This 451-nucleotide long non-coding RNA is filed under the name Citrus x clementina. Its description in RNAcentral is "Citrus clementina (C. clementina) long non-coding RNA (CCLE_LNC001492)". Lineage: Eukaryota; Viridiplantae; Streptophyta; Magnoliopsida; Sapindales; Rutaceae. The record is from RNAcentral.
GUGGUGGUUUUGUUCUUCCACUCAGAUUUUUAAAUAUGUGGUGGUAUGUUCUUCCACUCAGAUCUAGAGAUUUGUGGUGGUUUGUUAUUGUUUCUCUAACCAAAUUUACAAAUCUGGGGUUGUUCAUUUUAUUUUGCUUGGUUUUGUGUUUUAUGAUGCGGAUUUUUGACAAGAAAAGUUUCUACUUUAUGGAAAGUGUUGCAAAGGCAGAAUUGAUGGAUGCCUUUAAGAGACUUAAGAAAUCUGGACAAAAGUUUUGUAGAGAAGAAGCUAUCUAAGAUGCAUCAAAAGUAGAGUCCCCUCCCUGCUCAUGUUGUCAAGGCUCAGGUAGAUGCAGCCUUUAGAUGUAAUGAGAAUAUAGCAGAUUUGGGAGUUGUAGUUAGGGACUCAGAUAAUAAAAUCAUAGAUGCAGCAAUUCAACAAACUCAAGUUGAUGGAGAUGUUAAAUAUU